AUUGAACGCUGGCGGCAUGCUUUACACAUGCAAGUCGAACGGUAACAGGCCUUCGGGUGCUGACGAGUGGCGAACGGGUGCGUAAUGCAUCGGAACGUGCCCAGAGGUGGGGGAUAACGCAGCGAAAGCUGUGCUAAUACCGCAUGUGAUCUGAGGAUGAAAGCGGGGGACCAGGCAGCAAUGUUUGGCCUCGCGCCUUUGGAGCGGCCGAUGUCAGAUUAGGUAGUUGGUGGGGUAAAGGCCUACCAAGCCGACGAUCUGUAGCUGGUCUGAGAGGACGACCAGCCACACUGGAACUGAGACACGGCCCAGACUCCUACGGGAGGCAGCAGUGGGGAAUUUUGGACAAUGGGCGCAAGCCUGAUCCAGCAAUGCCGCGUGCGGGAAGAAGGCCUUCGGGUUGUAAACCGCUUUUGUACGGAACGAAAAGGCUCUGGCUAAUACCUGGGGCUGAUGACGGUACCGUAAGAAUAAGCACCGGCUAACUACGUG
RNAcentral lists this ribosomal RNA (492 nucleotides) under uncultured bacterium. RNAcentral describes it as "partial 16S ribosomal RNA". It matches the Rfam family "Bacterial small subunit ribosomal RNA", at positions 30 to 507 of the family's 1533-position model. The record is from RNAcentral.